CGCGUAUCCAACCUGCCCACCACUUGGGGAUAACCUUGCGAAAGUAAGACUAAUACCCAAUGACGUCUCUAGAAGACAUCUGAAAGAGAUUAAAGAUUUAUCGGUGAUGGAUGGGGAUGCGUCUGAUUAGCUUGUUGCGGGGUAACGGCCCACCAAGGCGACGAUCAGUAGGGGUUCUGAGAGGAAGGUCCCCCACAUUGGAACUGAGACACGGUCCAAACUCCUACGGGAGGCAGCAGUGAGGAAUAUUGGUCAAUGGACGAGAGUCUGAACCAGCCAAGUAGCGUGCAGGAAGACGGCCCUAUGGGUUGUAAACUGCUUUUAUAAGGGAAUAAAGUGAGUCUCGUGAGACUUUUUGCAUGUACCUUAUGAAUAAGGACCGGCUAAUUCCGUG
RNAcentral lists this ribosomal RNA (394 nucleotides) under uncultured bacterium. RNAcentral describes it as "bacterial SSU rRNA". It matches the Rfam family "Bacterial small subunit ribosomal RNA", at positions 114 to 507 of the family's 1533-position model. The record is from RNAcentral.